GGGUUGUGAGGUUAAGCGACUAAGCGUACACGGUGGAUGCCCUGGCAGUCAGAGGCGAUGAAGGGCGUGCUAAUCUGCGAUAAGCGCCGGUAAGGUGAUAU
RNAcentral lists this ribosomal RNA (101 nucleotides) under Salmonella enterica subsp. enterica serovar Tennessee. RNAcentral's name for it is "partial 23S ribosomal RNA". It matches the Rfam family "Bacterial large subunit ribosomal RNA", at positions 1 to 92 of the family's 2925-position model. RNAcentral also lists the same sequence under 2 other names. The record is from RNAcentral. Lineage: Bacteria; Pseudomonadati; Pseudomonadota; Gammaproteobacteria; Enterobacterales; Enterobacteriaceae.